This 45-nucleotide non-coding RNA is filed under the name Schistosoma mattheei. Lineage: Eukaryota; Metazoa; Platyhelminthes; Trematoda; Strigeidida; Schistosomatidae. The record is from RNAcentral.
AUCAAGCUGACGAGUCCCAAAUAGAACUAAACGCGCGUCCUGGAU